GACGAACGCUGGCGGCGUGCUUAACACAUGCAAGUCGAACGGAAAGGCCCUGCUUUUGUGGUGUGCUCGAGCGGCGAACGGGUGAGUAACACGUGAGUAACCUGCCCUUGACUUUGGGAUAACUUCAGGAAACUGGGGCUAAUACCGGAUAUGAGCUCCUGCUGCAUGGUGGGGGUUGGAAAGUUUCGGCGGUUGGGGAUGGACUCGCGGCUUAUCAGCUUGUUGGUGGGGUAGUGGCUUACCAAGGCUUUGACGGGUAGCCGGCCUGAGAGGGUGACCGGCGACAUUGGGACUGAGAGACGGCCCAGACUCCUACGGGAGGCAGCAGUGGGGAAUAUGGCACAAUGGGCGGAAGCCUGAUGCAGCAACGCCGCGUGCGGGAUGACGGCCUUCGGGUUGUAAACAGCUGUCGCCUGUGAUGAAGCGUGAGUGACGGUAAUGGGUAAAGAAGCACCGGCUAACUACGUG
This 468-nucleotide ribosomal RNA is filed under the name uncultured bacterium. Its description in RNAcentral is "partial 16S ribosomal RNA". It matches the Rfam family "Bacterial small subunit ribosomal RNA", at positions 28 to 507 of the family's 1533-position model. The record is from RNAcentral.